RNAcentral lists this ribosomal RNA (453 nucleotides) under uncultured organism. RNAcentral describes it as "partial 16S ribosomal RNA". It matches the Rfam family "Bacterial small subunit ribosomal RNA", at positions 330 to 799 of the family's 1533-position model. The record is from RNAcentral.
CGUACACUCCUGCGGGAGGCAACAGUGGGGAAUAUUGGACAAUGGGCGCAAGCCUGAUCCAGCCAUGCCGCGUGAGUGAUGAAGGCCCUAGGGUUGUAAAGCUCUUUCACCGGUGAAGAUAAUGACGGUAACCGGAGAAGAAGCCCCGGCUAACUUCGUGCCAGCAGCCGCGGUAAUACGAAGGGGGCUAGCGUUGUUCGGAUUUACUGGGCGUAAAGCGCACGUAGGCGGACUAUUAAGUCAGGGGUGAAAUCCCGGGGCUCAACCCCGGAACUGCCUUUGAUACUGGUAGUCUUGAGUUCGAGAGAGGUGAGUGGAAUUCCGAGUGUAGAGGUGAAAUUCGUAGAUAUUCGGAGGAACACCAGUGGCGAAGGCGGCUCACUGGCUCGAUACUGACGCUGAGGUGCGAAAGCGUGGGGAGCAAACAGGAUUAGAAACCCCAGUAGUCCCAUG